GUGGGUAUAGCGUAGUUGGUUAACGCGUCAGAUUGUGGUCCUGAAGAUCGAGAGUUCGAAUCUCUCUACCCACCCUA
Molecule: transfer RNA, 77 nt
Filed under: Hominimerdicola alba
Lineage: Bacteria; Bacillati; Bacillota; Clostridia; Eubacteriales; Oscillospiraceae
Also listed under: 1 other name
Description: Ruminococcus albus tRNA_His_GTG
Rfam family: tRNA
About the family: Transfer RNA (tRNA) molecules are approximately 80 nucleotides in length. Their secondary structure includes four short double-helical elements and three loops (D, anti-codon, and T loops). Further hydrogen bonds mediate the characteristic L-shaped molecular structure. tRNAs have two regions of fundamental functional importance: the anti-codon, which is responsible for specific mRNA codon recognition, and the 3' end, to which the tRNAs corresponding amino acid is attached (by aminoacyl-tRNA synthetases). tRNAs cope with the degeneracy of the genetic code in two manners: having more than one tRNA (with a specific anti-codon) for a particular amino acid; and 'wobble' base-pairing, i.e. permitting non-standard base-pairing at the 3rd anti-codon position.
Source: RNAcentral